RNAcentral lists this small RNA (124 nucleotides) under Marmota monax (woodchuck). The record is from RNAcentral. Lineage: Eukaryota; Metazoa; Chordata; Mammalia; Rodentia; Sciuridae.
GCUGGGUGUGGUGGUGAAUGCCUGUAAUCCCAGUGGCUCAGGAGGCUGAGACAGGAAGAUUGUGAGUUCAAACCAGCCUUGGCAAAAGCAAGGCACAAAGCAACUCAGUGAGACCCUGUCUCUA